GCUUUCCACACAUUUACUGAGUGUGCUAUAAUGGGUCCAAACAAUAACACACAUUUUCUAGGAGUCAAUCCAGAAAAGAAUACAUCUUGUAAUCUAAUUGGUGAAACUAUUGACUUUUCUACAGCACGCCAAGGAACAGAAGCCUCUGGGUUUAACCAGGUCUUCAGGAAAUUCAUUUGGAAUGAUAGACGUUACAGAAUCACCCACCACAACUGGACCAAGCAGCGUGGUGACAGGCAGCGACAGCAGAAGCAACAAAGAGAGGAAUGGACAUGGGAGGAUGAAUUGUUCGGAGAAGGACCCUGGGAUCAGCCUGGAGAAUAUCGCCGCCCCAAAGAAGAACUGGAGGCGGCGAGAGCUGAGAGGCGCUGGUAUGAGGAGAAGCAACAGCGGCAGCAGGAGCAACAAUAUCGGGACUACACUACUUGGGAGGAAAUAGACAGGUGGGCUGUCGACCCAGAGAAAGUGCCGGAGCCCGCCUGGGAUUCGCUGGAGCAGUGCGAAGCAGGUUAUCGGAGAAUGGAGUUGGCGAAGCAAGCAUGGCGGCGCGGACGGAAGACCGAGAGUCAGCCCCAAAAAUGUAUGGGGGGGGGGGCUCAGGGAGAGAGUGGCAGAGUCAGGAGUCAGACCUCAGCCAACUCUCCCUGUUUAUAGUGAGGAGCCAAGGAGGAGACCAGAACCAGAGCCGGUGUUAGAGGUGAGCGAAGCAGAGACUGCGAAGGAGUUAAUGGGGAAAUUGGAGGAGAGAGUUAUGAGGGAGUUGCUAGUUUGGUGCUUUAGGUACGAUAUUCGUCCGACGGAGCGAGUCGGGGAUUUGAUGGCACCUGGGUCAGCGCUCCAUACUCGUCCUGAGGUGCAUGUUAGUCGGCUGGUGAAAAUUGUGCCAGCCUCACGCACUAGGCCUCCUGUGUACCUACCUAGCCUUGCACACCCUGUGCCAGCCCUGCUCUCAGGCUCUCCAGUACACCUUCACGGUCCGGUCCAUCCUGUGCCACCUUCACACACCAGUCCUCCGGUGGCAGCUCCCCGCACCAGGCUUCCUGUGUGUGUCCUCGGUCCAGUACCACCAGUUCCAGCACCACGCACCAGGCCUUCAGUGCGCCUCGCAUGUUCAGCGCUGCCAGAGCCUUUCUCCUCUCCAGUGCUGUCGGAGUCUCCCACCUGUUUAGCGCUGCCGGAGCCUCCCGCCUGUUCAGCGCAGCCAGAGCUUUCCUCCUCUCCUGCGCUGCCGGAGUCUCCCGCCUGUUCAGCGCUGCCAGAGCCUUCCUCCUCUACAGCGCUGCUGGAGUCUCCCGCCUGUUUAGCGCAGCCAGAGCCUUCCUCCUCUACAGCGCUGCUGGAGUCUCCUGCCUGUUCAGCGUAGCCUGAGCUGACGGCCUGCAUGGAGCAGCCUGAGCUGUCAGUCUGCAUGGAGCAGCCUGAGCUGCCAGUCUGCAUGGAGCAGCCUGAGCUGCCAGUCUGCAUGGAGCAGCCAGAUCCGCCAGUCAGCCAGGAUCCACCAGUCACCCAGGAUCCGCCAGUCAGCCAUGAUCUUCCAGAUCCACCAGUCAGCCAGGAUCCGCCAGUCAGCCAGGAUCUGCCAGAACCACCAGCUAGCCAGGAUCUGCCAGAGCCUACUACCUGCCUGAGUUUCCUCUCAGUACUGGGCUUCCUCUCGGUACUAGGCAUCCCCUCAGUGCUGAGCUUCCCCUCAGUGCCGAGCUUCCCCC
This is a long non-coding RNA of Oncorhynchus tshawytscha (Chinook salmon), 1709 nucleotides long. Lineage: Eukaryota; Metazoa; Chordata; Actinopteri; Salmoniformes; Salmonidae. The record is from Ensembl.